Long non-coding RNA from Homo sapiens (human), 206 nucleotides. The record is from Ensembl. NCBI's taxonomy places the organism in Eukaryota, Metazoa, Chordata, Mammalia, Primates, Hominidae.
UUAUUCCCAUAGACUACUUUUUAAUAGUGCUUUACACCUAAUGUAACAGAAUUUAUACUUUAACUUUUAAGUUACAUGAUAGUAAAAGUCAAUUUGGAACAAUGGAAAAUGCCAUGUUUUAUUAGAAUCAUAGUGUUAAAAUUAGUCCUCUGACAGUUUAAGUGAUGAAAGAAAGGAAUUUACAUUAAUAAAGUAAUCUUUUAAUG